GCCGAAGUGAUGGAACUGGUAGACGUGCCGGACUCAAAAUCCGGUGGUGGCAACAUCGUGCGGGUUCGACUCCCGCCUUCGGCACCA
RNAcentral lists this transfer RNA (87 nucleotides) under Bacillota bacterium. RNAcentral describes it as "tRNA-Leu". It matches the Rfam family "tRNA". Rfam says of the family: Transfer RNA (tRNA) molecules are approximately 80 nucleotides in length. The record is from RNAcentral. Lineage: Bacteria; Bacillati; Bacillota. RNAcentral also lists the same sequence under 2 other names.